This 226-nucleotide long non-coding RNA is filed under the name Gossypium barbadense (sea-island cotton). RNAcentral describes it as "long non-coding RNA (GBAR_LNC018517)". The record is from RNAcentral. Lineage: Eukaryota; Viridiplantae; Streptophyta; Magnoliopsida; Malvales; Malvaceae.
UGGUUGAUUCUUCUUCUUUAGCAAUUUUGCAUCUAACAAAGUUGUAGUUUAUCAGUGACUGGUUUUGAAAUUACCUUAUUGGGUUUUGCAAAUUAUGGUUUUGGUGAAGCUGGAAUUUCAACACUUGGUUGAACAUCCACUGAAUCUUGAGCAUCAGUUGGCUCCUCUUCAACUUCAAUAGUGUUGGGCUCUAAUGUCUUUCCGCUCCUCAAUGUCAAUAAUUUAC